GUGCUCACUUUGGCAGCACAUAUACUGAAACUGGAACAAGACAGAGAAUAUUAGCAUGGCCCCUAUAAAAGAAU
Small nuclear RNA from Dipodomys ordii (Ord's kangaroo rat), 74 nucleotides. The record is from Ensembl. NCBI's taxonomy places the organism in Eukaryota, Metazoa, Chordata, Mammalia, Rodentia, Heteromyidae.